UGCAUGCCAUAGGUGCUAAAUAAAUGAGC
This 29-nucleotide non-coding RNA is filed under the name Rattus norvegicus (Norway rat). The record is from RNAcentral. Lineage: Eukaryota; Metazoa; Chordata; Mammalia; Rodentia; Muridae.